GACGAACGUUGGCGGCGUGCUUAAUACAUGCAAAUCAACUGAAGCAGUGGUAGCAAUAUCGCUGUGGAGGUGGCGCACGGGUGAGUAACACGUAGGUAAUCUGCCUUCAGGUCUGGCAUAACUCCGGGAAACCGGGGCUAAUAGCAGAUGAUGCAGCGGCUCGACAUCGAGACAGUUGUUAAAGCUAUGGCGCCUGAAGAUGAGCCUGCGUCUGAUUAGCUAGUUGGCGGGGUAACGGCCCACCAAGGCAACGAUCAGUAGCUGGUCUGAGAGGAUGAUCCGCCACACUGGAACUGAGACACGGUCCAGACUCCUACGGGAGGCAGCAGUAAGGAAUAUUGCUCAAUGGGAGAAAUCCUGAAGCAGCAACGCCGCGUGAGGGACGAAGGGCUUUUGCUUGUAAACCUCUGUAGUGAGAGAAAAAAAUCCCAAUCUUUGGGACAUGGUGGUAUCUCAAAAGUAAGCCCCGGCUAACUACGCG
This 481-nucleotide ribosomal RNA is filed under the name uncultured bacterium. Its description in RNAcentral is "partial 16S ribosomal RNA". It matches the Rfam family "Bacterial small subunit ribosomal RNA", at positions 28 to 507 of the family's 1533-position model. The record is from RNAcentral.